GGCAAGCGUUGUCCGGAAUUAUUGGGCGUAAAGCGCGCGCAGGCGGUCCUUUAAGUCUGAUGUGAAAGCCCACGGCUCAACCGUGGAGGGUCAUUGGAAACUGGGGGACUUGAGUGCAGAAGAGGAGAGUGGAAUUCCACGUGUAGCGGUGAAAUGCGUAGAGAUGUGGAGGAACACCAGUGGCGAAGGCGACUCUCUGGUCUGUAACUGACGCUGAGGCGCGAAAGCGUGGGGAGCGAACAGGAUUAGAUACCCUGGUAGUCCACGCCGUAAACGAUGAGUGCUAAGUGUUAGAGGGUUUCCGCCCUUUAGUGCUGCAGCUAACGCAUUAAGCACUCCGCCUGGGGAGUACGGCCGCAAGGCUGAAACU
This 370-nucleotide ribosomal RNA is filed under the name uncultured Bacilli bacterium. RNAcentral's name for it is "bacterial SSU rRNA". It matches the Rfam family "Bacterial small subunit ribosomal RNA", at positions 533 to 901 of the family's 1533-position model. The record is from RNAcentral. Lineage: Bacteria; Bacillati; Bacillota; Bacilli.